Molecule: non-coding RNA, 1726 nt
Organism: Salmo salar (Atlantic salmon)
Lineage: Eukaryota; Metazoa; Chordata; Actinopteri; Salmoniformes; Salmonidae
Source: RefSeq, a predicted model, not a curated record
AUAAAAGAAACAUUUAUCUGCGUUAACCACUCCAGUCAACAGAUGGCGAUAUGUGUUUUUCAGGCGAUGCUUUCAGCGUGACGUAUAAUGUAGUGGACGGGACGCUUCUUCAACAACAUCUAGUCAGCCACCUCGGUAGCUUCCUAGCCGAAACAUUCAAGCUGUUCAGACUGCUUCGGUGUAUAUUUGCCUCUGUAUUUGGAACAUAAUUCUGUCUUUUAACUAGUUUCCCCAUUUAAUGUGAUAUUUCCGUUUAGUCAGGUAACGGUAGCUGGCUUGAUAAAUGAGCCUGUCACUAGGCUAGUCGCUAACUAGCUAGGUUAGCUGGCUAACAUCCCCGACCAUGAGCUCACCAAGCUACUGCCCUCCUGCUAAAAAAGAGGUCUGCUGGAAGGAGAAAGAAGGUAUUUGGCUGAACGUUGUCGUGAAAGAGGAGAAUGAAGAGGAGGAUGUCACAGUAAAUGAAGAAGUAGAGGGAGAGGCUGUUACAGAGAAAGAAGAGGAAGAAAACGAUUAUACUUUUUUUGGAGUGAAUGAAGGAGAGAACUGUCAUAUUGAAGGAGGAGGAGAGGGAAGAAGAAGAAGAGACAGAAGAUCUGAGUAACACCAGGAAGUCCUGUCUUGAAAAUAGUUGUUUUACUGAUGCGUGGUUUUAAACGGCAUUCUAUUCUAGUUCUGAUCUUAAAUGCCGUUUUAAUGUAGGAAUUGAUAAAGCUACACUGUAAGAUGUGAAUACCAUCAACAAGCUGGCCAACAACAAAACUUUAACAAUGGAUUUGCACGCAAAAUCACAACUUAAAUGUCUCACGGAAUGGACUUGUCUUCAUUCAAUACUGCAAUUCCAUCGUACUAAACUGGAGGCGAUUCCGAGCCCACUGUUGACUGCGGUCAAGUGUGCCGACAGUCGCAAAACGCGGUCAGGCCAUCUGCUCUUCAGUUUCUUCCUGAAUUUGCGUGCGUGAAUACACUUUACGGAAUGGCGUUUUUUCAGGAGAGAGACCAGACUCUCCUUCUGACAGCAGGAAGAGUCCUUCAGGGAAACCAGACCCCGAGACGUCCAAACCAGCAGGCCGACAUCACUGCUCCCAGUGUGGAAAGAGUUUUACUCAGUUAGGGAGCCUGAGAAUACAUAAGAGAAUACACACUGGAGAGAAGCCUUACCACUGUUCCCAAUGCGGAAUGACGUUUACCCAGUUAGGGAGCCUGCAAAACCAUGAGAGGGGACACACAGGGGAAAAGCUUUUCCAAUGUUCCCAUUGUGGAAAGAGUUUUGGCCAGGUAGGAAACCUGAACAAGCAUGUGAGGACACACACAGGUAAGAAGAUGUACCGCUGCUCCCAGUGUGGAGAGAGAUUUACCCGGUUAAGGUACCUGAAAGAGCAUGAACGAAUACAUACAAAUACACAGGAGGAGACAUACCACUGCUCUCAUUGUGGAAAGACAUUUUCCCAGUCAGAGAACCUGAAAACACAUGAGAGAAUCAAGAGGCUGUGUUCUGACUUGUGUUUUUGACUGAGAAUUUGUGUUUUUGUUUGGGCUGUCAGACUUCAGUUCACUUUGUGUAAUGUUAGUGCACUAUUUUUUAAUUGUGAUUAACCCAUUGUCUGAAAAGGUUAAAAACACACUGAAAACAUCCAAAAUACAUACUAUAUACCGCUAACAUCUACAAUGCCAUGUAAAAACAAGAUGACAUUGAGGUUAAAUAAAGUGUGCUUUAUCAAUGGAA